This is a long non-coding RNA of Oncorhynchus tshawytscha (Chinook salmon), 345 nucleotides long. The record is from Ensembl. NCBI's taxonomy places the organism in Eukaryota, Metazoa, Chordata, Actinopteri, Salmoniformes, Salmonidae.
CAUCUGAUAGGGAACAGACUAGUAGUGUCAGAAGGUCAUCUGAUAGGGAACAGACUAGUAGUGUCGGAAGGUCAUCUGAUAGGGAACAGACUAGUAGUGUCAGAAGGUCAUCUGAUAGGGAACAGACUAGUAGUGUCAGAAGGUCAUCUGAUAGGGAACAGACGAGUAGUGUCGGAAGGUCAUCUGAUAGGGAACAGACUAGUAGUGUCGGAAGGUCAUCUGAUAGGGAACAGACUAGUAGUGUCAGAAGGUCAUCUGAUAGGGAACAGACUAGUAGUGUCAGAAGGUCAUCUGAUAGGGAACAGACGAGUAGUGUCGGAAGGUCAUCUGAUAGGGAACAGACUA